UCAGCUCGUGUGGGAGAGAUCCGGGUCGGACCACGUCCGACCCGGGCGCCGAAGGGGCAACAUCCCCGGAACCUCUCAGGCGGAAGGACCACACGGGAUCA
RNAcentral lists this non-coding RNA (101 nucleotides) under Kineococcus radiotolerans. RNAcentral describes it as "Glycine sequence". It matches the Rfam family "Glycine riboswitch aptamer". Rfam says of the family: This family represents the bacterial glycine riboswitch. Glycine riboswitches usually consist of two metabolite-binding aptamers domains with similar structures in tandem. The record is from RNAcentral. Lineage: Bacteria; Bacillati; Actinomycetota; Actinomycetes; Kineosporiales; Kineosporiaceae. RNAcentral also lists the same sequence under 1 other name.